RNAcentral lists this long non-coding RNA (1529 nucleotides) under Homo sapiens (human). Its description in RNAcentral is "HSALNT0186690". Lineage: Eukaryota; Metazoa; Chordata; Mammalia; Primates; Hominidae. The record is from RNAcentral.
GUUUUUACCUCCAGACUUGAGUAAAUCACACAUUUUUAACUCACUCUAAGCAGUCUGGGAAUGCUAGAUUAUCCCCCUGUCCCAAGCAGCUGUGCUCUGAACCUAGGAACAUUUACCACCUCCACUGGGUGGAGAGGAAUGAUCAUGGGUUUCGAUCAACACUGUCCCUGUUGCAUACAUACAUAGCUAGAAAACAAGCCCAGUGAUUAUUCUACAGACAUAGCUAGAGAACAAGCCCAGUGAUUAUUCUACAGACCAUAGGAAGCAUCUACACCUCAGCUGUCGGCCGUUUGGUUACAGAAAUGCGAUCCUGCAAGUUGUCACCACUAUACAUAAAGUCAGGCUAUGAUAGCAUAUUUCACUUAAAAAUAAAUUAUCACAAUAUAAGGCACAUAUGUAUAUGGAAUCAGAUUCAUGAUUUGAAAAAUAUGCUUAAAUCACACUGAAUCAGCUUAGCAGAAAAAUAAUUAUAAAAUUUGAAAUAUCCCCUUUUCUUUUUGUUUUGUACUAAAUCAAUGUAGAAAACACACUUUCUACCCUGAAGGAAACUGCUGUCUUAUCUGAUAAAUUAUAUAAGCUCCAGUAAAUGUAUGUCAUCACCCUCAGGAAUGACAGGUCUCUCUUUCUCACGCUUGUGGGAAUUGAGCGUUGACACUGUAAGAACACUUGACUAAUAACCUUUGCCUAGACCUUCCAAACUCUGCGCGUAACUUCUUGAGAGAUCUGAAUAAAGGCCAAUAUUUUCACAGGUUGACAGGGUCUGGAGAAGUGGGUCACCGAGCACUCUGACAUUUUUAAGUUCAGUUUACAGUAACUCUUUGCAAAACUUCAGGUUUUGCUGUACUUCAAAUCAUUUGGGCAAAUUAUAAGAAAAUGAAUACAAAAUGUGUGACCCUUGGGUAAUUCUGCACUUGGCUUUGUUCUCCCUUGGUGCUUUUGAGGACAAUUUCUGCAAGGCCUGGUUUGGCUAAAAGGGACACUUCAUUGAAGAUCUCUAGGCCUUUUACUUUUUAAAGUGUCUUUUAUUCUAAAGCUAGUUAACCACAUAUAGAAGUAUGGUGUUUAUCAGUGAUGUAGAUCCAUUAUGACAAUGAAUGGGAAGAGGUAAUCUACUCCCCCCAUUCUGUGCAAAUCUCAAACGACAAAGCUAAGUUUUACUACAGAUAAAUCCAUAACCAGGGGAAGGAAGAAUUUUUAAAUGCCCAUUUUUUUCUUGUCCAAAUGUUUGAAAAAGAAACAUAUUGAAUCUCUAUCCAGUGGUGUGGUUUCUGGUCUUUCUGGUGUGCUCAAUUCUCUCUGUGUCAUUUUGGUGUAAAAAUACUAUCCUACAUUUACUUCCCUUGACCAGAAACCUUGAGACAUCAUAAAAAUGUUAAUUUAGCAUUAUUACUUCAUGCAUUCAACAAUGCUGAUUUCAUGAAACCACACAAACAGGAUUCUUUUGUUUUAUUGAUAACAGAAACUGUGCAUAAUUACAGAUUUGAUGAGGAAUCUGCAAAUAAUAAAGAAUGUGUCUAUUGCCAGCAAAA